GAGUCCCAAGGCCUGGGUCUGAAUGCUCACCUGCUACUUCCUGACUUAGGGGAAACUGCUCGAGUCGCCUGUGCCUGCAGAUCUCACGGAGCGGUGCUGCACAGACCUGGCGUGGGCCCUGUGCAUGCUCAGGACCAAGCCGUGGCCCGGGUGCAGGGUGCAGUACACGGGGGAGAGAAGGCUGCUGUUCCUCCUCCGCUAAAGCUCCAGAAAAUGUGGCUGUCGCCUGGGAAAUGUCGGAGGCUCUGUCACCUGGAAAUAAACUUCCCGCGCGGCGCUCUCUCGGCGGGCGGCAAGAACCCAGUGCCUGUUCAUGUCACACACACAGGCAGGAAAGCCCCCCACCAAGUGUGACCACCUGAAAAUCAAGUUUUGCCUUCUCCUGGUCAGCUUGUAAAAGUCUGUCUGCGUGCGUCUGGAGAAAAUAACUCUCCCUCCUGAGCCACAUCCUCCCAAGUGCCUCACCGCUGCGCGAGGGGACCCCACCCGAGCCAGGCAGGUGUGGAAAAACCCCUGUGCUCACCCUCCCUGCC
This 533-nucleotide long non-coding RNA is filed under the name Fukomys damarensis (Damara mole-rat). RNAcentral describes it as "lncRNA (ENSFDAG00000031205.1)". The record is from RNAcentral. Lineage: Eukaryota; Metazoa; Chordata; Mammalia; Rodentia; Bathyergidae.